RNAcentral lists this long non-coding RNA (7615 nucleotides) under Homo sapiens (human). RNAcentral's name for it is "long independently transcribed non-coding RNA 2700, transcript variant 6 (LINC02700)". The record is from RNAcentral. Lineage: Eukaryota; Metazoa; Chordata; Mammalia; Primates; Hominidae.
GUGAGACUGUGAAUUCUUCAAAAGCAGGUACUGUGUUUAAUGAAGUGUGCCCAGGACUUUGCUCAGUGACUGGAUGACACAGUAGGAGUAACAAGAAAGUUCACAUGGGUGAACCGUGGUAGGUGGACAUCGUCUCUCUCACCUCUUCCCAAAUCAAGGAUGAAGUACAUCUUCAUAAAUCCUCAUGUGAAUUAUUUUGCUACCUCUAGAAGCAUUUUCUAAAACAAGGUGCAGCAAUCAGUUGAGUGAAUUUGUCACCAGAGCUUAUGUUUUCUGAAAGAACCCUAUCCUCAGGCAGUUGUUCCUAAGAGGUGAGUUGUGGAUUUAGUUCACAUACCUUCCUUCGUGGCUUAAAAUGCUCCACAUGCCUGUCUCCCCAACAGCAUCAGAUCACCAUGCAGUAAAAUACCAAGUCAGAACAGCCAAUGCUGAAAAGAGUGACAGUUUCCUUUCAUGAUGCAAUGCACUUGGAGCCAGGGGACAGGGAGACAAUAACUGCAAGGAGAAGUGAUGACAACCCUACUUUAAUAUAGUAGUUCCUUUUGAAUUUUAUAGACUUACCCGUUAAUCUCUAGAAUUUUGAAAAAAUUCCUUAAGUGAUGUGAGCAAAUAACACUUUGCCUUGGGUUAGCCUUUUCCUUUCCCUUGAAGAUUCCACAAAUAUGUCAGCGCUGGAAAUGAUCCUUUGGCUUUGAACUAUGUGAAGACUGCAGAAGGACUGGUUGGUAAGCACCCACAUCCUGGGGUGAGAAUCACAUCCAGUUUAUACCUCCCUGUGCACACUUGUAUAAAACAACUAUAAGACACACGAGAGAUCUGGAAGCCAGUUCCUCAUAAGUAAGAAUUGGUCAGGCUGCAUUUGUAUCCUGGGUCCACAAGACAUCGUUUCCUUAAAACCAAUCCCCCUGAUUUUGCUAAGUGUCUGCAAGCCUAAUAUUUCAUGGAUGUUUGACAAGGACCCCGUCUUUAGCUGAACUAAGGAGAAAGUCCUGCAACACACACAUGGAGCUCAGCAAACGGAGGAUGUAACGCACAUGAAAUUUGGUGCUGUGACUCGGAUUGGGGGACCUCCCUUGGGAGAUCAAUCCCCUGUCCUCCUGUUCUUUGCUCCAUGGGAAAGAUCCACCUACGACCUCAGGUCCUCAGACCGACCAGCCCAAGGAACAUCUCACCAAUUUUAAAUCGGAUGAAGAAACUGAGGUCCAGAGAAGUUAAACGACCUUCCUAAGAUUACACAGCUUAGUAAGUGGCAGAACCACAGCUGGAAGCCAGGUCCUUCCUCACGCAAGUCCUGGCUCAUUCAUUCCUCUUCCAAAGACUUGCUGAGCACCUUCUAGGUGCCAGAUGCGGUGCUGGCUCCUGGGGACAUGGGAGUGAACAGGCCAGGCGUGGCCCUGAACCAUCAAAUAGACAACCACAGAAAUAACAACAACAAAGACAAAACCGGGCCCUUCCACACAGUAGCUGGAACACAAAGGAAGAUCAGCCAAGCCUCAACAUAAUCUCAUAAAAAUUCUUCAAAUAUCCCAUUGUUAUGGAUUCAUACAUCAGGAAAGCAGAUGCCAAGAACCUGAACACCUUCUACUGGUAACAUAUAUUUUGGCGAGCCAGCCUGGAGACAAGACCACUAUGGGCAACUUCCUGUCUAUUCUACCUGGUGUCACUGUGGACAACUUCCUAUCUAUUCCACCCGAUUCACCGCUUGGCUACAUCCUCCACCAUUGGGAUGAAUUUGACCCUAACAAUCUAAAGAAAAGGCAUAUGAUUUUUUACUGCAAUAUUGUUUGACACAAUUAUGAGCUGCCCAAUCCGGAACAAUGGGCAGUCAAUGGUAGCCUUAAUUAUGAUACCAUCCUGUAUCUAGACCUAUUUUACAAGAGGCAGGGCAAAUGGUCAGAAGUCCCACAUAUACAGGCCUACAUGACCCUAUACGAAGACCUAAGAAUCUAGGAAACUCCCAGAACCCAUCCCCCGAAGGAAAGUUCUGGGGCAGAACUAGAUAUUAUAGAUGAACCCCCUUUUACAAGGGAUACCUGUCUCUCAGAGUGAGCAGUGACUGUCCCCAUAUAACCCCUCACCAAGUGCUCCUGAGGCUGAAACCCAGGGGCAAACAUGGGGAACCCUACUAAGUCCCCCUCACACUUGGAGGGGAACACUGUAUUCAACUCUCUAUCCAGCCCUGCUACUCUCAGAGAAAUAGCAGGGGCUGAGGGGCCAAUCCUAGUGUGGGUCCCCUUCUCUAUGAUUGAUAUACAACAAUGUAAGGAAAAGCUAGGAAGCUAUUCUGAGGAUUCCGGGAAGUUUGCAGAUGGGUUCCAAACUUUGACCUUAGCCUUUGAUCUCUCAUGGAGAGACGUUCAAUUCACUCUAGCAACCUGUUGCACCUCCUCGGAAAAGGAACGAAUCUUUGAGGCUGCCCUCCGAGAAGUGGACGAAUUAUUCACCCAAAACCGUAAAGGCAGUCACCCAGGCCCAGCCACAGUUCCCACUACGCAUCCUAAUUGAGACCAAGACACCCCCGCAGGAAGGAACAACUGGGCUAAAUUUCUUGAGGCUCUUGGAGGAAUGAGAAAGGGAAUAACUAAGGCAGUAAAUUAUGAUAAAGUAAGGCAGAUUACACAAGGCAGGGAGGAAAACCCAGCUGUGUUUUACGGCAGGCUGCGGGAAGCCUUUAAAAAAUAUAUACUAAUUUGGUCCCUUCCUCUCCUGAAGGCAAGUUAUUAAUGGCACAACGUUUCAUUAGCCAAUCCACACCAGACAUUAGACGUAAGCUCCAAAAGCUACACAUGGGGCCACAAACUAACCAAAAUCAGCUUCUUGGUACUGCCUUCAUGGUGUAUAACAAUCGUGACCUGGAGGAAGGAGAAGGGAAACAGAGUAAAGAAAAACGGCAAGCCAAAAUUAUGUUAGCCAUCACUGGUGAUGCCCUAAAUGCACAAAGAUUGUCCAAGGGAAACUCAAAGGGCCAUAAGGAUAAUGCCAGCAAAGGCUCUUGCUUCAAAUGCAAUAAAAGUGCGAUUGGGCACAGGAAUCCACUAAGCCCCCGCCAGUCCCCUGCCGUCAAUGUAAAAGCACCAGUUGUGGCUCCUGGCCCUGGAGAAUUGACUGUCCCUGCUCCCACCAAGGGGCUCAGUCAGUCAAAACUCUGGCAGUGCACAAGGAGGAAUCAGAUGAAGACUGAAGGGGCCUGGGGCCUUCCUCACUGCCCCGUCUAGGAACAUUGUAAUUACUACUGAGGAACCCUGGGUAACUCUGGACAUCAUGGCCACCCAAAUUCAGUUUUUAUGUGAUACCAAGGUGAAUUAUUCUGUACAACUGCUUAUGCAGGAAAACUUUCCUCCCGGUCCAUGAGUGAUAUUGGAUGGAAGGGAAGCCACAAACAAGAUUCUUACUCCUCCUUUGGUUUGUCAAUUUGAGAAACAAAUCUUCCAACAGGAAUUUUUAGUAGUACCAAGCUGCCCAAUUCCCCUGUGGGAAAGAGAUAUUAUGGUGAAAAUAGUGACACUACUGCAAUUUAAGCAAUAUUAGCAGGUGAAACUGCUAAUAGUAAGAAAUAAGGCAAUGUCCCAGACCAUGUCAAUAAACAGGUUAACCCACUGGCAUGGUAUACUGGAAACCCAGGGAAGGCUAAAACAGCAGUGCCAGUCAAAAUACAGCUUAAAGACCCCAGCCAUUUUCCCAAUGGAAAACAAUACCCAGUUGAACAGGAAGCAAGCAAAGGUCUAGCUCCCAUAGUUGAGAUAUUACUUACCCAUGGACUCUUAAAACCCUGCAAUUCUCCCUGCAAUACCCCCAUCUUACCUGUUCUCAAGCCUGGGGGGAAUACCAGCUAGUACAGAACCUCAGAAUAAUGAAUGAGGCUGUUAUCCCCGUCCACCCAUUGGUGGCAGAUCCAUAUGCCCUCCUGGCUCAGGUGCCAGGGCAUGCAAAAUGGUUCUCAGUCCUAGACCUUUCUUCUCCAUUCCUCUGGCCCCGAGCCCCCCAGUACCUUUUUGCUUUCGAAUGGGAAAAUCCUAAUACCAGAUAAAAACAAUACACUUGGACAGUGCUUCCUCAGGGCUUUCGGGAUAGCCCCCACUUCUUUGCCUGAGCAUUAGAGCGGGAUCUGAGGGAUUUCAAGUUAGAAAAUGGAGGUAUUCUUCAGUAUGGGGAUGACCUUGUGUGUAGCCCAACCUAGGAGGUUUCUGACCAAAAUACUAUAAAAACUUUGAAUUUCCUGGCAGACAGAGGAUACAAAGUGUCCAAAAAGAAGGCUCAGAUUACCCUCCAAUGGGUCCACUAUUUAGGAUAUGUCUUAACACCCGGAACCCGGCAAAUAUCCCCAGAAGGAGUGCAAGCUAUAUGUGGUUUGGCCGCGUGCACCACCCCCAGCCCCCACCCUGACCCACCUCCAAGCAGCAGCUUUGUUCCUUUUUGGGGAUGGCCGGGCUUUGGAGAAUAUGAGUACCAAAUUUUGGGCUCAUAGCAAAGCCCCUAUAUGAAGCAACAAGGGGGCCUGAAAAUGAGCUAAUGGAAUGGACCCCGGAAAUGAGGAAAGCCUUUGCCAAGUUAAAACAGGUUCUCACCCAGGCUCCUGCUCUUGGUAUCCCAGACCUAAUUAAGGCCUUCUCCUUGUAUGUAGCAGAGAAGAGGGGCAUAGCUGUGGGAGUGCUAGCCCAGAAAUUAGGAUCAGAACCCAGACCAACCGCCUACUUCUCAAAAAAGUUGGACGGAGUGGCCUCAGGAUGGCCAAGUUGCCUGCGGGCAAUAGCAGCCACUGCUGUUAGUGGAGGAAGCCACUAAAAUCACCCUAGGGCAACCACUGGAAGUUCUAACGCUCCAUCAGGUAAAGUUAGUCUUAGAAAUAAAGGGACACAUCUGGAUGACAGGGGAAAUGUUAACUAAAUACCAGCCCAUGCUCCUAGACAAUCCAGAUAUAACUCUUAAAACCUGCAACACUUUAAAUCCAGCUUCAUUGCUGCCCACAGGCCCAAUAAUUGAUCAUUCCUGUGAGCAGGUCAUUGCACAUACAUAUGUUAGCCAGCCUGAUUUAAAAGAUGAGGCUCUCCCAGAUUCUGAAGCUGACCGGCUCACAGACGGCAGUAGUUCUUUGUCGAAUGGGGAGCACAGAGCUGGAUAUGCAGCAGUAAAUCAUGACACAAUUAUUGAAGCCCAGCCAGUGCCCCCUGGCACAUCAGCACAAAAGGCUAAAAUCAUUGAUCUUACUCAAGCAUUAAUGUUGGGACAAGGGAAAAAACUUAACAUCUAUACAGAUUCUAAAUAUGCAUUCCUUGUGGUUCAUGCUCAUACCGCCAUCAGGAAAGAAAGGGGAUUACUUACUAGCAAGCACUCCCCUAUAGAGCAUGGACCUGAAAUUCUGCAGCUAUUGAAGGCAAUACACCUGCCAAAGGCCAUAGCUAUCAUUCAUUGUAGGGGGCAUCAAAGGGACUUAACCCCUAUAGCACAAGGGAAUGGAAAGGCUGACGGAAGCCAAAGCAAAAGCCCUCAGCGUGCAAUCCCAACAGAUCCUAGCACUGCUUCCUUUCUACAAUUCCCCAGUAGAACCCAAAUACACACCACAGGAAGAACAGCUAAUAAAAAAAGCAAGGGAGACAAAAACAAGGAUCCUGGUGGCAUAUGGAGCCAAAAAUAUAUCUCCCUCAGGCAGCCCAGUGGAGAGUUAUAAAAGCCCUGCAUGACUCUUUCCAUGUGGGGAGGGAUGCGGCUCUGGCCAUGGUAAACAAGUUCUUUACUGGGUUUAACUCAGCUUCAAUGGCUAAGCAGGUCUGUCAAGCCUGCUCACUGUGUGCAUUUAACAAUCCAGGCAUCAAAAUGCCCCCUCUAAUAAAACCAGUCCAAAGGAGGGGAACUUAUCCAGGGGAAGACUGGCAGUUAGACGUCAUCCAUAUGCCAGCUUGCAGAGGAUACAAGCUUUUGUUAAUACUAAUAGAUACUUUUAGGUUGGGUCAAAGGUUACCCCAGAAAAGGCUAAUGAGGUUCUAAGGUCCUCUUAAAAGAAAUAAUUCCCCAGUUUGGGUUACCUCAGGGUCUCCAAAGUGAUAAUGGCUAAUCCUUUAUCUCCCAAAUAACUCAAGGGGUUGCUAAGGCUCUUGGAAUAAAAUACUAUUUACAUUCAGCCUGGAGGCCCCAAUCCUCUGGAAAAGUGGAAAGGGUUAACCAAACUCUAAAAUAAGCACUAGCUAAACUAUGUCAGGAAACAUCAGAAACUUGGGUUAGCUUAUUGCUCACAGCCCUUUUAAGAAUUUGUAAUACCCCUAGCUCAAAAAUUAACAGAAGCCCAUAUAAAAUGUUAUACAGAAGGCCAUUCUUAACUAAUGAUUUAAUUAUUGACCCAGAAAGAGUUGGUGUAAUUAAAUACCUAGUCAACCCAGAACAAUUCCAGCGGGUUUACAAGAGUUUGGAAUUCAAAGGCUCCUCACACUUGGAACUAACCAGCAACCCAAAAUCAGGCCAGGAGAUAGGGUACUUGUUAAAACAUGGAAUGAGGGAUCACCUGCCCAACAAUUACAACCCCAAUAGAAGGGACUUUUUUCAGUAAUACUGGCCACGUCUUCUGUGGUCAAAGUACUAGUAUUAGAUAGCUGGAUACAUCUUUCAAGGAUCAAACCAUCAAUACCAGAAGCUCCAGACCAGGAACCUGAAGUUCCCAUCAGCCAGUACACCUGUGAACCAGUGGAGGACCUGAAGUACCUGUUUAAAAGAUAGCCAAAAGAUAAGUAAAUGCCUACCAACUUUCUUUGGUGUCUUUGUUGCAUAGUUACUGUGGGCUGGAAAAUAGUAGCCAUUUUUAUCUUUGCAGUUUAAUUGCCUUCUUCCAAAUAGAUAAAAAUCACUUCCUUUGUAAUAAUUAAACAGAAUUUAAAAAAUACAUUUCUAUGACAAAUAUUCCUGAUGGCAUAAGUAUCCACCCCAAGGUUCCCAUUAAAUCUUUUAACCUAAAGUAUUUCCUCUCACCUAGAGAUCAUCGAGCUGUGUGACAAGGGUGCCAGCCACUCCAGGUGAAGACACCACCCCAGGCCAUCAAGGAUCUUCCCUACCUUCACUAAACAGAGCAGGGUGAAAGUUGUGUGAUCCCCAAUAGGUAGGGACUACACCCCAAGUCAGCAGGAAGCAGUUACAGAAGAAAGACCAUUGGUCCCUCUGCUUCCCAUAAAGAUUUAUGGGGAUCACAGCUUUCACGGGGGAGAUGAGGCAAGAGAAUAGGGCAUGCAGGCAGGGUACUUGAGGCCAAUCCACGCUGACUUCCUAGAACUGAAUUAAAUGAAAGCUCCUCAGCAAUGACAGGAAUGUGAAUGGCUUUGUAACUUCUUCCUCUCCAUUAAUGCUAUUUCCACUUUGUAACUUCACUUUCAUCCUCUCCAUUUACAUAGAUCACACACCAAGUAACAUCCUCUCCAUUUACAGUAGGGCGCAUUCCGAGUCAAUGACUCUGACUGCACUUCGUUCUCCUCAUUUACAUAGAACAUUCGCCAAGUAACCAAUGGGAAACCUCUAGAGUAUUGAAACUCCAGAAAAUUCCGUAAGUGGGGCUCUUGAGCGUCUACACUCGGGUCGCUCCCACACUGUGGCGUGUACUUUUAUUCUCAAUAAAUUCCCGCUUUUGCUUUCCUCGUUC